GAGAGGGUUACAAUGCCAGCAGACAAAGGCUGUAAUAGCGACCGCACCGCGGGAGCGAACUGUCUGACACACACAAGGUCAAAGUGACCAUGAAAACUUGGAGCUUUUGAAUCACUUCAGGACUUCGAGGCAGCCACGACAGCAUAACCACAGGCAUCCAGGGAAAAGGACAUCGAGCACUACUGAGGAAGUGUCAAGAGUGAUGUGACAAGUGUGAUCAAAGCAAGGAGGAGUGACUGCCUUCAAUGGGAAAAUCCUGCUUCCUGAAAGUCCCUCUUCAGUUAGAUACUUACCAAGCAGACCCUACCUCGGAGUUUCCUUUUCCAUCUUGCCAAGCCAACUCUCCUAUCCAGCAUCUUUUUGUUUUGUUUU
Molecule: long non-coding RNA, 372 nt
Organism: Fukomys damarensis (Damara mole-rat)
Lineage: Eukaryota; Metazoa; Chordata; Mammalia; Rodentia; Bathyergidae
Exons: 3
Source: RefSeq, a predicted model, not a curated record